CAGUAGCCGCGGUAAUACGGAGGGCGCGAGCGUUACCCGGAUUUACUGGGCGUAAAGGGCGUGUAGGCGGCCUGGGGCGUCCCAUGUGAAAGGCCACGGCUCAACCGUGGAGGAGCGUGGGAUACGCUCAGGCUAGAGGGUGGGAGAGGGUGGUGGAAUUCUCGGAGUAGCGGUGAAAUGCGCAGAUACCGGGAGGAACGCCGAUGGCGAAGGCAGCCACCUGGUCCACUUCUGACGCUGAGGCGCGAAAGCGUGGGGAGCAAACCGGAUUAGAUACCCCAGUAGUCCCUGUCUCUUAUAC
Molecule: ribosomal RNA, 301 nt
Filed under: uncultured bacterium
Lineage: Bacteria
Description: partial 16S ribosomal RNA
Rfam family: Bacterial small subunit ribosomal RNA
Source: RNAcentral